UACGUAGGGUGCAAGCGUUAAUCGGAAUUACUGGGCGUAAAGCGUGCGCAGGCGGUUAUGGAAGACCGGGGUGAAAUCCCCGGGCUUAACCUGGGAACUGCAUUUGUGACUGCAUAGCUAGAGUACGGUAGAGGGGGAUGGAAUUCCGCGUGUAGCAGUGAAAUGCGUAGAUAUGCGGAGGAACACCGAUGGCGAAGGCAAUCCCCUGGACCUGUACUGACGCUCAUGCACGAAAGCGUGGGGAGCAAACAGG
Molecule: ribosomal RNA, 253 nt
Filed under: uncultured bacterium
Lineage: Bacteria
Description: partial 16S ribosomal RNA
Rfam family: Bacterial small subunit ribosomal RNA
Source: RNAcentral